UGGGGAAUUUUGGACAAUGGGGGAAACCCUGAUCCAGCCAUCCCGCGUGUGCGAUGAAGGCCUUCGGGUUGUAAAGCACUUUUGGCAGGAAAGAAACGUCAUGGGUUAAUACCCCGUGAAACUGACGGUACCUGCAGAAUAAGCACCGGCUAACUACGUGCCAGCAGCCGCGGUAAUACGUAGGGUGCAAGCGUUAAUCGGAAUUACUGGGCGUAAAGCGUGCGCAGGCGGUUCGGAAAGAAAGAUGUGAAAUCCCAGAGCUCAACUUUGGAACUGCAUUUUUAACUACCGGGCUAGAGUGUGUCAGAGGGAGGUGGAAUUCCGCGUGUAGCAGUGAAAUGCGUAGAUAUGCGGAGGAGCACCGAUGGCGAAGGCAGCCUCCUGGGAUAACACUGACGCUCAUGCACGAGAGCGUGGGGAGCAAACAGG
Molecule: ribosomal RNA, 429 nt
Filed under: Acidobacteriota bacterium
Lineage: Bacteria; Pseudomonadati; Acidobacteriota
Description: Acidobacteria bacterium partial 16S ribosomal RNA
Rfam family: Bacterial small subunit ribosomal RNA
Source: RNAcentral